GCGUCCUCUCUCCACCGUUCUCUACUCUUCUUCUUCUUCUCUCUACUUUGCUCCGGAUUCUCCGUCCCCUCAAAUAAAGCGAUCGCCGCUCCCUUUCUCUUCCGCGAUCAUGGCGUUCGACAAGAUCAAAGUCACGAACCCCAUCGUCGAGAUGGACGGUGAUGAAAUGGCUCGGGUUAUUUGGAAAUUAAUCAAAGAUAAGCUUAUUCUUCCUUACCUGGAGUUGGACAUAAAGUACUUUGACCUGGGUAUUCUUAACCGUGAUGCUACAGAGGAUAGAGUUACAGUAGAGAGUGCAAAAGCUACUCUUAAGUACAAUGUGGCAAUCAAAUGUGCAACAAUCACUCCAGAUGAAACUCGUGUUAAGGAGUUCAACUUAAAAGCUAUGUGGAAGAGUCCAAAUGGAACAAUAAGAAACAUCUUGAAUGGAACUGUUUUCAGAGAACCUAUCAUCUGCAAAAACAUCCCAAGGCUUGUUCCAGGAUGGAAAAUGCCGAUAUGCAUUGGAAGGCAUGCUUUUGGUGAUCAGUAUCGAGCAACAGACACAGUGAUUAAAGGGCCUGGAAAGCUUAAGUUAGUAUUUGAGGGGAAAGAAGAACAGGUCGAGCUAGAGGUUUUUAACUUUAAAGGAGCUGGUGGAGUGGCUUUGGCUAUGUAUAAUACUGAUGAGUCCAUUCGUGCUUUUGCUGAGUCUUCAAUGAAUAUGGCUUACCAGAAAAGAUGGCCUCUUUAUCUUAGCACCAAAAAUACUAUUCUCAAGAAUUAUGAUGGGAGGUUUAAAGAUAUAUUCCAAGAGGUGUAUGAGGCUGAAUGGAAAGCAAAGUUUGAGUCUGCAGGAAUAUGGUACGAACAUCGGCUUAUUGAUGAUAUGGUUGCCUAUGCUCUCAAGAGUGAAGGUGGUUAUGUGUGGGCUUGCAAAAACUAUGAUGGUGACGUGCAGAGCGAUUUCUUAGCUCAAGGUUUUGGAUCUCUAGGCCUAAUGACAUCAGUGCUGGUCUGCCCUGAUGGGAAAACAAUUGAAGCUGAAGCUGCACAUGGCACAGUUACUCGCCAUUACCGAGUUUAUAUGAAAGGAGGGGAAACUAGUACGAAUAGCAUUGCUUCAAUCUUUGCAUGGUCAAAGGGCCUUGCACAGAGGGCAAAGCUUGAUGACAGUGCUCAAUUGCGUGACUUCACGGAAAAGCUUGAAGCUGCCUGUGUAGGAACUGUGGAGUCUGGGAAGAUGACGAAAGAUCUCGCCAUCCUAAUUCACGGGCCUAAAGUUGGGCGAGAUCAGUAUCUGAGCACUGAAGAGUUCAUCGAUGCGGUUGCGGAGGAGCUGAGGGCGAGGCUUUAUGGGAGAUCAAAGUUGUAAACCUCUUCUCACUAUAUUAUGUCCUUUGAAACACUGCCAUUUGAUUGGGAAACACAUUUGGUAUUUAGCUCGCAAAGUUCUUUUUAGAUCCGAAUAGGUCGUAGACGCUUUGGCGAACGCCCCGAAAUAAUGCGGUGCUGAGAUUUACGUCGUUGUGUAAUAAAUAAGUGGCUUAUCCAGUGGCCCAAUUCUGAACGGAAUCAAAACUGCUAAUCAGCUUGUACUAAAUUCUAAUGUGUAAGCCUAGUCUUGCAUAGAUGUAGCCCUGUGGAACCUUGUAAUGAAGUUAUAAAGUAAUCAUAUAAUUUCACAAACGAUCAUGUUAUUUGUAUGGUAA
Ananas comosus (pineapple) is the source of this 1691-nucleotide RNA transcript. It is a transcript of the gene named isocitrate dehydrogenase [NADP]-like, with no coding region annotated. The transcript is spliced from 16 exons. NCBI's taxonomy places the organism in Eukaryota, Viridiplantae, Streptophyta, Magnoliopsida, Poales, Bromeliaceae. The record is from RefSeq and is a predicted model, not a curated record.